This 406-nucleotide ribosomal RNA is filed under the name uncultured bacterium. RNAcentral describes it as "partial 16S ribosomal RNA". It matches the Rfam family "Bacterial small subunit ribosomal RNA", at positions 30 to 526 of the family's 1533-position model. The record is from RNAcentral.
AUUGAACGCUGGCGGCAGGCCUAACACAUGCAAGUCGAACGAGUGGCGGACGGGUGAGUAAUGUCUGGGAAACUGCCUGAUGGAGGGGGAUAACUACUGGAAACGGUAGCUAAUACCGCAUACCAUCAGAUGUGCCCAGAUGGGAUUAGCUAGUUGGUGGGGUAACGGCUCACCAAGGCGACGAUCCCUAGCUGGUCUGAGAGGAUGACCACGGCCACUGGAAAUGAGACACGGUCAAGACGCCUACGGGAGUCACCAGUGGGGAAUAUUGCACAACGGGCGCAAGCCUGCUGCAGCCCUGGCGCGUGUAUGAAGAAGGCCUUAGGGUUGCAAAGUACUUUCAGCGUGGAGGCGUUCCACUUAGAAGAAGCACCGGCUAACUCCGUGCCAGCCGCCGCGGUAAUUC